This 229-nucleotide long non-coding RNA is filed under the name Elaeis guineensis (African oil palm). RNAcentral's name for it is "long non-coding RNA (EGUI_LNC063058)". Lineage: Eukaryota; Viridiplantae; Streptophyta; Magnoliopsida; Arecales; Arecaceae. The record is from RNAcentral.
CUUCACAAAUCUCAUUCUAGAGAUAUGCCUUAGAAAUUGCUGCAUAUAUUUUUUAAAUAGAUACCAUCAAAAUCUAUUACUAGCAUUCCAUAUGAAAUAUAGAAAGAGGCAAGUUGCCCAACUUAUAUGAAAAGAGUUGAUGUACAUAAGUUUUGUACUAGAUUAGCUUUGUAUAAGUUUAUAGGUUAUUCUAAGAGUGGUAUGUAAUACUACUUCUACCACCCUACAA